GAUGAACGCUAGCGGCAGGCUUAAUACAUGCAAGUCGUGGGGCAGCAGGUUUGUAGCAAUACAGAUGCUGGCGACCGGCAAACGGGUGCGGAACACGUACAGAACCUUCCUUUGAGCGGGGAAUAGCCCAGAGAAAUUUGGAUUAAUACCCCAUAGUAUAAUGAAGUGGCAUCACUUUAUUAUUAAAGAUUUAUCACUCGAAGAUGGCUGUGCGGCUGAUUAGGUAGUUGGCGGGGUAAAGGCCCACCAAGCCUGCGAUCAGUAACUGGUGUGAGAGCACGACCAGUCACACGGGCACUGAGACACGGGCCCGACUCCUACGGGAGCAGCAGUAAGGAAUAUUGGUCAAUGGAGGCAACUCUGAACCAGCCAUGCCGCGUGGAGGAUGAAGGUCC
RNAcentral lists this ribosomal RNA (395 nucleotides) under uncultured bacterium. RNAcentral describes it as "bacterial SSU rRNA". It matches the Rfam family "Bacterial small subunit ribosomal RNA", at positions 28 to 417 of the family's 1533-position model. The record is from RNAcentral.